GGGCGGAUAAUAAGUCGCCAGUCCACAUUGGAUCGAUUUCUACUCUAGGAAAAUUGAAAAAGGGUGCUACUUCGAUUCAUUUGCUUUCCCUUUCUCACUCUGAAAGAAAGAAGAAAGCCUUGCUUUGCCUGCUUCCUUCCUCGCUAAUUGAAAGCAAGACUCACACGUCUGCUUAUGAAUCUUAUGGGUUCCUCACUUUUUCGGGGAAUCAUUUUUCUCCGGUCCUUGCAGGGCCCUACUCAAAUAAAAUAAUAUCUUGCUUGUUCAUUACCAUCUCCGUUCUUCUGCGAUAAGAAUGCUCCCAACGACUCGUUUGAGGCUGAUGAUAUAUAUAGCCGUAGCCUCCUGGCCGAGAAGAGAACUUUCACUGGGGAUUUCCUCAGUCUAUACUGACUCUCUA
This 400-nucleotide long non-coding RNA is filed under the name Gossypium barbadense (sea-island cotton). RNAcentral's name for it is "long non-coding RNA (GBAR_LNC005089)". Lineage: Eukaryota; Viridiplantae; Streptophyta; Magnoliopsida; Malvales; Malvaceae. The record is from RNAcentral.